This 391-nucleotide ribosomal RNA is filed under the name uncultured bacterium. RNAcentral describes it as "bacterial SSU rRNA". It matches the Rfam family "Bacterial small subunit ribosomal RNA", at positions 28 to 416 of the family's 1533-position model. The record is from RNAcentral.
GACGAACGCUGGCGGCGUGCUUAACACAUGCAAGUCGAGCGGUAAGGGCCCUUUCGGGGGUACACGAGCGGCGAACGGGUGAGUAACACGUGGGUGACCUGCCCGUUAGCUCUGGGAUAAGGCCUGGGAAACUGGGUCUAAUACCGGAUAUGACUCCAUGACGCAUGUUGUGGGGUGGAAAGCCUUGUGCGGCUAGGGAUGGGCCCGCGGCCUAUCAGCUUGUUGGUGGGGUGAUGGCCUACCAAGGCGACGACGGGUAGCCGGCCUGAGAGGGCGACCGGCCACACUGGGACUGAGACACGGCCCAGACUCCUACGGGAGGCAGCGAGUGGGGAAUCUUGCGCAAUGGGCGAAAGCCUGACGCAGCGACGCCGCGUGGGGAGUGACGGCC